This is a long non-coding RNA of Bombus pyrosoma, 3785 nucleotides long. RefSeq lists it as uncharacterized. The transcript is spliced from 4 exons. Lineage: Eukaryota; Metazoa; Arthropoda; Insecta; Hymenoptera; Apidae. The record is from RefSeq and is a predicted model, not a curated record.
GUUCGAACGCGACGGUCAAAGAAACAACGAUUCCGCGACGAUACGCAAAACGUAACCGUCGUAUUCGCGCUCUGGAUAUAUCCCGUCAACCCGGUUAACGUAAUUGGCCAGAAUCUUUGGCCGUGACUAAUUACGAACGUGUAAAACUUUUGACCAAAACGUAGUGACAGAAUAUUUUCGACAGUCAACGAGUCACUUUGUCCCUAUCGGUCCAUAAGUUUAUGCUUCGUCAAACAUACUUGGAAAGGAUACUCGAUACGUCAGGUGGACGUAUCUAUGUGUAAUACAAAGGCAUAAGAUAACGGACAAGAACCGACGGAGGAUGUUUGUCUGAUUGACGUGACAACGAGAUUCUUAUCUUCGUAGGAGGGCCAUCGUUGCCCGUGAUGUCGAAUGGAGACGUCUAUUUAUCUAAUUAAUACAAUAAUAUAAUUAGAUCCAAUUAAUUGUAUAUAAAUAUGAAUGAGAAGUCGUCAAACGUAUAUUUUUGUUACAAAUACACGUGCCUAUUUUUACCAUUAUAUUAAGUCUAUCAUGGAUAACCAAUCAAAUCUAUAUUUCUUCUAAAAAUUCUCUUGCCAAAUUUGUAUGACUUAACCACGAAUAGAUCUUGAUCGCGAAGAAGGAAGAAGAAGCUGCUGAUGGUGGAAGUUAUCUUCUCUGUAACGAGGCAAAGUCCUUCGGAUGUCUCCGGUUACAGCGUGCUUUGCUAUCUUCGAGUUAGAUACGCAGCUGUUUACAUAUAUUCGAAGGCUGGAAGGGUUGUAUCAACUUUAUCGCACACGGUAGUAACUACGACGCAACGAAACCGUCUCUUCCUGGUCAAUCCGAUGGUUCAGCUAAACGUUAAUCCGCCAUCGCUAAUGCUGUAUUUAUUUGAGAAGAUGCCGCGAGGAUAAGCCAACGAAUAAUUAGCCGCAUCUGCGAUAUUUCGUUCCCGACGUUUGUAAUAUAUUUACAAUCCACGGAAAUGAGCUACGCCUACACACAACCGUUAUAGGGAAACAAGCUAGAAACAUGCGCACCAUGCAUAAAUAAAUACACGAUUGAUAUUCGAUUCUGAAGAAACAAGCAAUAUACUUCCGCAAGUUCGCACAUCGUAAGAAGAACAGUUCAACGAUAAAAUUGCAGAAGAAUAAUGGAUUAUGUAACUUACAAUUUUUCAUUCAUCGAUUAACUAAUUAUUAUUAUUUAGCUUUUAGUUGUUAGCGUCUAGAUAAUCGUGGAAGAAGAAUUUUUCCUAAAAGAAUAUGUAAGAAAAAUAUAAAAACGCGGAACACUUCCGUUUUUUACCCUGCAUUCUCUACUAACGUUGUCACAGCGCUACAACCGCAUACAUAAUCUAAAAGUUUCUCUGUCAAUUCUUCUAAUCUAUCCGCGAUCUGAGAAGCUUUUGACACGAUUCAUCCUCUUACUUUAUUUAAAUAAGAAUGAAAAAAUAUUGAAAUAAUUCUGCACAUUGUAGACAAGGAUCUCGGAUAAAUGGUAAUAAGAAAAGGGACCGUGAACGCGUUUCAACUGCGUGGCGAUUCGCAAUCUGGCACGAGAUACGUUCAAAGGAAUCGAGCGUGUAUCGUGGAUGCAGCAUCUGCCUUUCUACCAGAUAAUGAUGCCUCGUCGCGAUAUUCCGCGGGAUGCUUUUAAAACGACGUUGCUGAACACGCAACCAAGUCCAAAUACGCCGGCUGGUAAACGCGGUGAAGCCAAUUAUACGUACCGAUUCAUGGCGUGGCUACGAUGAAAAAGAAAGCAGAGGGAGUGGAAUGUAGGGACGCCGCCGGGUGAACACAGAAAAGUGGAGCUUAUUAAAGAGAAAAGGUCAACAAGGUGGAAAGGAAAAAAGGAGUAAAUCAGAACUCUCUCGCACAAUCGUUUACUAACUAACGAUACUAAUAUUUAAUGAAUCGACAAGCGACAAGUUGUAGAUUGUAAAUUUCUCUUUUAUAAUUUCGUCUAUUUUAUCAUCGAACGUCGUGUUUCGAUUACGAUAUUGUCCAGAAACAUUUGGACAGCUGAUGCGAUUCGAUCAACAGGUUGAUACUUUUCUUACAUUUUAUAUCGUACUCUAUCUUUCACAUAUUUUAUUUUCACCAUUUUAUAUUGUUAUAUUAUUCGUGUAUCUUGAAUUAUCGCUCGCUUUUAUCCAUCACUUUUAGCAAUAUCUAUUUAUCGUAUACGAUUGCUUAAGACAAGCAAUUUCAACAGAGUCUCUUUCGAAAUGUAUUUGCAAUAAUCAUUUUUAAUUAUUACGGACGAUAGCGUACGCAAGAGAAUCUAUCGGUAUCGUUCAUUUUUUCGCUAAUAAUAUUAGCUCGAUUGUGCAAGAGGACUGUGAGAUGAGCGAAAAAGGGAGAUACGAAAAGAGAAAGAAGAAAUACGAAAAAGAAAAGACGCGUGCCAAAAAUAAAGAAAGCGUAAACUUUUAUAUAAUUAAGGACUUUACGAAUUACGAUCAUUAAUUACCGAUACAUCGUUAAUGUAGCUUCGACGAUCGUUAGCUUGCGCCGUGCGUGCACGCCGAUCCUUUGUUACUGAUUGGCGUGUUAAUUAUAUCGCUGCUGAUUCUGACAUACGUGCGGUAUAGAGCGCAUGUGAGAGCCGUGACUGGCAACUUGGUGAAAAUUGUCUAUCAGUAGGAGGAAAUUAAGAUACGGAAUAACGAAAUAAUUUAUAUUGUACCGCGUGGAUGAAAGUACUGUUACGUAUACUGUGUAUAGAAUAGCGUAAACCUAAUCGACGAUUCGAAACGAUGGUCGUGCGUAAUUAGUUAGAUCGAUCGAAUUUUUGUAGUAUACUGUUUUUAAGGGUUCAAAUCAUCCUUGAUCUGAUUAUACAAAUUUUGUUCUACAUAUUUAUACGUUGAAAUUAUGAAAUGAUGAAAUAACGUAGAAAUCUAAGAUUUUCUAAGUCGAUGGUAAAAAUCUAUCUUACUAUUGAUUCGUUUUAUAAACGUGAGAGAUAUUACAAACUAGGCAGCAACGUGGCGACUGUCACGAAGUUAGUUGCGUUUUAAUAGCGUCAUUCAUCUUUCAAGAUCUCUCAAGAUGGUUACGUUCGCUAUUUUGCAUUGCAUUACGGUCAUAACCGAUUGUACGAGAAAUUCAUUUCUUUUUCUCCUUUUGCCCCGUCUGGUGUCACUCCGUGGCGUUAAUGCGCGAUAAGAACGAUGGGAUGACCAUUCAAAUUCACCACAGAUAGUUAGAGGAAGCGCAAUCUCUAGCUUGACGCGCCUCGACGCCAACAAUCGUCUUUUCUAUAAAAAUAUUCUCGUAAUUUAACGCGAUUUCAAGAAAAAAAAAAAUUCGAUAAAAUGCCUGGCGAUUGAAAUGCGAUUUGGUAUACAAGACGCGGUGAAUCGUACAUUUGAAUAUCGUCGAAGAAACCUUUUGUCGAACCCUUAAUUGCGGCAAGGACACGUCGUGCGACGCCCAUGAACUUAGAAAGCUUCUCAUCUCAAGGCGAUCUUUGAGUUUUAUAACUGUAUUGAAUUUUGUGCGUCAUGCCUCUGACUUUCUCUAUUGUGAAGCGGAAGAAUUGAAGGAAACGAGUUUGAGAACUUUAAGCAUUCGAAGUUUUAGAAACUGAACGACAGAAAGUAUUUAAAUGCGCGUAAGUAAAAGGCAAGUAAAAGCAAAAGUAAAAGAAAUUUUAAUUUUAAUAGAAAAGUAUAGGGAAAGUAGAUCGAUAGCACAAGAGGAUAAUUACGUAAAUUAAUAAAAGAAUUUGAAAGAAAAAUAAAUGUUCAAUCGUAUAAUCUUAUAUUUUACAAUAUUCUAUCUGAUUCA